GCUAACGAGCGCAACCCUCGCUGUGUGUUACAAGUGUCACACGGAACUGCCGGUCAUAAACCGGAGGAAGGUGGGGAUGACGUCAAGUCAGCAUGGCCUUUAUAUCCUGGGCUACACACACGCUACAAUGGGAAGGGACAAUAGGUUGCGAAACCGCGAGGUGGAGCCAAUCCAGCAAAACUUCCCUCAGUUCAGAUUGCAGGCUGCAACUCGCCUGCAUGAAGUUGGAGUUGCUAGUAAACGCAGGUCAGCCAUACUGCGUUGAAUACGUUCCCGGGGCUU
This 282-nucleotide ribosomal RNA is filed under the name uncultured Levilinea sp. Its description in RNAcentral is "partial 16S ribosomal RNA". It matches the Rfam family "Bacterial small subunit ribosomal RNA", at positions 1088 to 1382 of the family's 1533-position model. The record is from RNAcentral. Lineage: Bacteria; Bacillati; Chloroflexota; Anaerolineae; Anaerolineales; Anaerolineaceae.